AGUCGCAGCCCUGCUUGAGGUGCUCAAUCACUAAAUCUAGUGAGCGAGUGAAACGGGAAGUUGGUUGAAGUCCAACGCUGCCCCCGCAACGGUAAGCAAGUUAAGUCGGCAUCCUCGCCACUGUGCAGUAAAGCAUGGGAAGGCCGUUCGACUAAGUCGAAUGACAACUUGUAAGCCCGGAGACCGGCCUGAAGUGAUUUUUUAGA
Molecule: non-coding RNA, 206 nt
Filed under: Oleiphilus sp. HI0066
Lineage: Bacteria; Pseudomonadati; Pseudomonadota; Gammaproteobacteria; Oceanospirillales; Oleiphilaceae
Also listed under: 1 other name
Source: RNAcentral